CACUGUCUGUCUUCCUCUGACCGUGGGUCUGUCUCCAAGUUUGUGAUGCUCUCUUGCUUUCUCUGUGAGUAUUUGUCUCAAAUGAUCUGGGAGUGUGUCAAGCUCAGGUCUGGGAGUGUGUGUGUGUGUACUGUAUAUGUGUGUGUGAAGCUCAGGUCUGGGAGUGUGUCAAGCUCAGGUCUGGGAGUGUGUGAAGCUCAGGUCUGGGAGUGUGUGAAGCUCAGGUCUGGGAGUGUGUGAAGCUCAGGUCUGGGAGUGUGUGAAGCUCAGGUCUGGGAGUGUGUGAAGCUCAGGUCUGGGAGUGUGUGUGUGUACUGUAUAUGUGUGUGUGAAGCUCAGGUCUGGGAGUGUGUGUGUGUGUGUGUACUGUAUAUGUGUGUGUGAAGCUCAGGUCUGGGAGUGUGUGUGUGUGUGUGUACUGUAUAUGUGUCGGCAUGUGUUUUUCUCUGUAGUUUUUGAACGUUUGUGUGUUUGUUUUCUGUUUUCCCAUCUACUUUGUGCCACGGUGUGUCUGAUAGUCUGCUGAUAGAGGUUAGUGUUGAUGGCAUUUGAGUCUAUUCGUCUCAUGUAUUUCUCGCCUUCUCUGACAGUCCAAUAUUUCUCCUCAUAAUGGUUGACACAAUCGGUGUCUCUACCCUGUCACCUUUCCCAUUCUCCUUUUUACCUACUCGUUCAUUUUCUUCUCUCCUUUUUGACUAGACGAUGUUCCUUUGUUUCUCAUCUUCUUGCACCAAUCAUCUGGAAGGUUGUUAUUCUCUGUCCCUUCACGUCUGCUUCUCUUUGUGCCUCACUGUCACUUUCUAUUGACAUCUCCCUCCCUUCCAUCCUCCCUCCCUCCCUUCCAUCCU
Long non-coding RNA from Oncorhynchus keta (chum salmon), 848 nucleotides. RefSeq lists it as uncharacterized. The transcript has 3 exons. NCBI's taxonomy places the organism in Eukaryota, Metazoa, Chordata, Actinopteri, Salmoniformes, Salmonidae. The record is from RefSeq and is a predicted model, not a curated record.